UUACCCUGAAUGCGCCUGAUCUCGUCUGAUCUCGGAAGCUAAGCAGGGUCGGGCCUGGUUAGUGCUUGGAUGGGAGGAAGCUGGA
Molecule: ribosomal RNA, 85 nt
Filed under: Chinchilla lanigera (long-tailed chinchilla)
Lineage: Eukaryota; Metazoa; Chordata; Mammalia; Rodentia; Chinchillidae
Source: RNAcentral